GGCCCAAGCAACUGUUUACCAAAAACACAGGUUUGUGCUAAAUCGAAAGAUGACGUAUACGAGCUGACGCCUGCCCGGUGCUGGAAGGUUAAGAGGAGAUGUGCAAGCAUUGAAUCGAAGCCCCAGUGAACGGCGGCCGUAACUAUAACGGUCCUAAGGUAGCGAAAUUCCUUGUCAGGUAAGUUCUGACCCGCAUGAAAGGCGUAAUGAUUUGGGCACUGUCUCAACAGCCCGCCCGGCGAAAUUGUAGUACCGGUGAAGAUGCCGGUUACCCGCGACAAGACGGAAAGACCCCAUGGAGCUUUACUGUAGCCUAAUAUUGGGUUUCGAUGUUGCAUGCACAGGAUAGAUGGGACACUGGGAAGCAGGUGCUUUGGCGCUUGUGGAGUGGCCGUUGGGAUACCAUCCUUGCGAUAUUGGAAUUCUAACCUGCGGCUCUGAAUCGAGUCGGGGGACAUUGUUAGGUGGGCAGUUUGACUGGGGCGGUCGCCUCCUAAAGAGUAACGGAGGCGUUCAAAGGUUCGCUCAGCUUGAACGGAAAUCAAGCAAAAGAGUGCAAACGCAGAAGCGAGCCUAACUGCGAGACUGACGGGUCGAGCAGUAACGAAAGUUGGAGUUAGUGAUCCGGUGGUAUGUGAGUGGAAAUGCCAUCGCUCAACGGAUAAAAGUUACCCUGGGGAUAACAGGCUGAUCUCCCCCAAGAGUCCACAUCGACGGGGAGGUUUGGCACCUCGAUGUCGGCUCAUCGCAUCCUGGGGCUGUAUUCGGUCCCAAGGGUUUGGCUGUUCGCCAAUUAAAGCGGUACGCGAGCUGGGUUCAGAACGUCGUGAGACAGUUCGGUCCCUAUCUGUCGUGGGCGCAGGAUAUUUGAUGGGAGCUGUCCCUAGUACGAGAGGACCGGGACGGACGUACCUCUGGCGCACCAGUUGUUCCGCCAGGAGCAUAGCUGGGCAACUACGUACGGAUCGGAUAAACGCUGAAAGCAUCUAAGCGUGAAGCCGACCCAAAGAUAAGAUAUCCCA
RNAcentral lists this ribosomal RNA (1022 nucleotides) under human gut metagenome. RNAcentral's name for it is "bacterial LSU rRNA". It matches the Rfam family "Bacterial large subunit ribosomal RNA", at positions 1789 to 2816 of the family's 2925-position model. The record is from RNAcentral.